UCGACCGAUUAUCGGCCGGGCCGAUUAUCGCCGCCGAUAUUCAGCAUUUUGACGCAUAUCGGCAUCGGCCUUUUUUAAAAUUCGACAGCCGAUAAGAGAUCAAUUUAAAACUGGGUUAUUUUGGCUCUGAUGCAGCCGCGCCUCUCUGUCUGCUGUCACUACUCUGUCGCCAGCAUUGUCCCACCCACAGCACCAUCUGAUUGGUUACAAGCAGAGCCACGGUAACAGCCAAUCAGCAGUGUAAGCUGUGCAUGAACAGUCCUUACACACACGGUGGAGAAGGUCCGGAGAGCAAAUACUUGUUUUGAAGGGCCAUAUUUCUGAGAGCGGUAGCCACGGCACACACCACUUUGUCGUUGUCUAUCCUCAGUAACUCCACCAGGAUGGGAAGGCCUUUCUCCUUGCGGACAGCAGCCCGGAUGUACACAGACCACUGACAGGGAGAAAGUAGGGAGACUGGCUGUGAAUUAAAGUGGAAAAUGGGAUGAGAGACAGAUGAAGCAUAAUGGGUGAGGUCAAAUGGGAGAUGUUAUAUUCAGGGGUAAUAUGAGAGCAACUGAGGCAUUACACUGACUCACAAGUGAUAUACUGCAAGAUGGAGAAUUAUAUGAACCAGAGAGAAAGGUUUGGAGCUUGGAGACCACUCUAUCCUCCCUCAACAACUAUCAAGGUACACUUAAAUGGUCCACUCGACCUUAAACGGCUGAAGUGGUGCCGCCUUGUGGGUCAACAGUAGAAAACUGGGGAGGUGCUAAACAUCACCCCAGAAUGGAUAUCAGUCAGUGAAGUGGAAGCUGGAUGUUUCUGUCAAAAGCAUAAUUUACCCUUCCAGGGUAUGUUAUGGUUAAAGCACAGUAUUGUUUUUCUUAGAGACCAAAAUGGACAAACUAUGGUUCAUAUAAUCAUUUUAGGAAAUAAUUCACCCUUAGAGGGAAAUUAUCACAUGUCUUAGCCAAGAGCUUAGUGAGCAGAGUGUGCCAGCAGUACGCCAACACAGCUUCAUUGGAAACUGUUAGCAGCCGUAUUCUCAAAGCCAGGAGAGGGAGCUUGCUGAGAGGAGACACAACAAAGCACACACACGCACACACAGUGAGGCCCAAAAUAGAAAAUGUGAUUUCCUGAAGACCACCUGCCCCCAUCGUUUCCUCCUUCUCCUUUGUCUUCCUAUGUAGCUCUCUCUCUUUUCACCUACCAAUGGUAUCCCUCAUCAUACCAAAAUCAGAUACACAUAACUCCCUCACACGUCAACACAACAUCCCUCUCAAAGUGUGGUUGCCUGUCUCAUGAUCCCUCCUGAGUUUGUUGUCAUGUAAAUUGCUGACUAAUCAUUUUUGAGCAAAUAAA
Long non-coding RNA from Seriola aureovittata, 1344 nucleotides. RefSeq lists it as uncharacterized. The record is from RefSeq and is a predicted model, not a curated record. The transcript has 3 exons. NCBI's taxonomy places the organism in Eukaryota, Metazoa, Chordata, Actinopteri, Carangiformes, Carangidae.